RNAcentral lists this ribosomal RNA (305 nucleotides) under uncultured bacterium. RNAcentral describes it as "bacterial SSU rRNA". It matches the Rfam family "Bacterial small subunit ribosomal RNA", at positions 338 to 659 of the family's 1533-position model. The record is from RNAcentral.
CCUACGGGGGCAGCAGUGGGGGAUAUUGCACAAUGGGGGGAACCCUGAUGCAGCGACGCCGCGUGAGGGAAGACGGCCUUCGGGUUGUAAACCUCUGUCGCAGGGGACGAAGGAGAUGACGGUACCCUGUGAGGAAGCCACGGCUAACUACGUGCCAGCAGCCGCGGUAAUACGUAGGGGGCAAGCGUUAUCCGGAAUUAUUGGGCGUAAAGAGUACGUAGGUGGCAACCUAAGCGCAGGGUUUAAGGCAAUGGCUCAACCAUUGUUCGCCCUGCGAACUGGGAUGCUUGAGUGCAGGAGAGGAA